UACGUAGGAGACGAGCGUUGUCCGGAAUUACUGGGCGUAAAGAGCGUGUAGGCGGCCAGGUAGGUCCGUUGUGAAAACUCGAGGCUCAACCUCGAGACGUCGGCGGAAACCCUCUGGCUAGAGUCCGGAAGAGGCGAGUGGAAUUCCUGGUGUAGCGGUGAAAUGCGCAGAUAUCAGGAGGAACACCAAUGGCGAAGGCAGCUCGCUGGGACGUGACUGACGCUGAGACGCGAAAGCGUGGGGAGCAAACAGG
RNAcentral lists this ribosomal RNA (253 nucleotides) under uncultured bacterium. RNAcentral describes it as "partial 16S ribosomal RNA". It matches the Rfam family "Bacterial small subunit ribosomal RNA", at positions 524 to 776 of the family's 1533-position model. The record is from RNAcentral.